RNAcentral lists this ribosomal RNA (506 nucleotides) under uncultured bacterium. Its description in RNAcentral is "partial 16S ribosomal RNA". It matches the Rfam family "Bacterial small subunit ribosomal RNA", at positions 28 to 523 of the family's 1533-position model. The record is from RNAcentral.
GAUGAGCGCUAGCUACAGGCUUAACACAUGCAAGUCGAGGGGUAACGAGAGGAAAGCUUGCUUUCCUUGUCGACGACCGGCGCACGGGUGAGUAACGCGUAUCCAACCUGCCCCCAACUAGGGAAUAACCUUGCGAAAGUAAGACUAAUACCUUAUAAUUUCCUCAGAUGUCAUCUGACGAGGAAUAAAGAUUUAUCGGUUGUGGAUGGGGAUGCGUCUGGUUAGCUUGUUGGCGGGGUAACGGCCCACCAAGGCAACGAUCAGUAGGGGUUCUGAGAGGAAGGUCCCCCACAUUGGAACUGAGACACGGUCCAAACUCCUACGGGAGGCAGCAGUGAGGAAUAUUGGUCAAUGGGCGGAAGCCUGAACCAGCCAAGUAGCGUGCAGGAUGACGGCCCUAUGGGUUGUAAACUGCUUUUAUACAGGAAUAAAGUUAGCCACGUGUGGUUAUUUGUAGGUACUGUAUGAAUAAGGACCGGCUAAUUCCGUGCCAGCAGCCGCAGUAA